GGGCACGUAGCUCAGUUGGUUAGAGCGUUCGCCCGAUAAGCGAAAGGUCGGCAGUUCGAGUCUGCCAGUGCCCA
RNAcentral lists this transfer RNA (74 nucleotides) under Chloropicon roscoffensis. RNAcentral's name for it is "tRNA-Ile". It matches the Rfam family "tRNA". From Rfam's summary of the family: Transfer RNA (tRNA) molecules are approximately 80 nucleotides in length. Lineage: Eukaryota; Viridiplantae; Chlorophyta; Chloropicophyceae; Chloropicales; Chloropicaceae. RNAcentral also lists the same sequence under 2 other names. The record is from RNAcentral.